UACAGAGGGUGCAAGCGUUGUUCGGAAUUACUGGGCGUAAAGGGCGCGUAGGCGGCCUGUUAAGUCGAACGUGAAAUCCCCGGGCUCAACCCGGGAACUGCGUCCGAUACUGGCAGGCUUGAAUUCGGGAGAGGGAUGUGGAAUUCCAGGUGUAGCGGUGAAAUGCGUAGAUAUCUGGAGGAACACCGGUGGCGAAGGCGGCAUCCUGGACCGGUAUUGACGCUGAGGCGCGAAAGCCAGGGGAGCAAACGGG
RNAcentral lists this ribosomal RNA (253 nucleotides) under uncultured bacterium. RNAcentral's name for it is "partial 16S ribosomal RNA". It matches the Rfam family "Bacterial small subunit ribosomal RNA", at positions 524 to 776 of the family's 1533-position model. The record is from RNAcentral.